CUAUCAGAAGAUCUAAGACAACUGAAGAAUCGUGACAAAUAUAAAGUAAAAAGUAAUCUGUUGGAUCAAAAUUGAACUUACAUAGAUAAAGGUGAUCCCAAUCUUGUAUCUUUCAAGGAAACGGACAACAAACGGAAUGUCAGCGCUAUUAAAGAUGGUGUUCGAUUGGUUAACGGAGAAUCUUGGAAGGAGGGGCGUGUUGAAAUCUACAAGGAUGGAUGCUGGGGCACGAUAUGUGAACAGAAUUGGGACACCAGAGACGCUAGUGUUGUGUGAAAAACGAUGGGAUUAUCUUACGGGAUUCCGGUUGUAUCUGGACGUUUUGGAU
Saccostrea cuccullata (small rock oyster) is the source of this 328-nucleotide long non-coding RNA. RefSeq lists it as uncharacterized. The record is from RefSeq and is a predicted model, not a curated record. NCBI's taxonomy places the organism in Eukaryota, Metazoa, Mollusca, Bivalvia, Ostreida, Ostreidae. The transcript is spliced from 3 exons.